Grammomys surdaster is the source of this 159-nucleotide small nuclear RNA. RefSeq annotates it as U1 spliceosomal RNA. The transcript has a single exon. The record is from RefSeq and is a predicted model, not a curated record. Lineage: Eukaryota; Metazoa; Chordata; Mammalia; Rodentia; Muridae.
AUCCUUACCUGGCAGGACAGAUACCAGGACUGUGAAGACGGGUUUCCCAGGGCGAGGCUAUCGACCGAACUCCAGAUGAGCUGACUCUUGGGAUUUCCUCAAAUUUGGGAAACUCUACUGCAUAACUGGUAGGAGUGGAGGUAUGUUCAUGCUCUCCCU